UUUCAUGCUGACAUAUGAUUGUAUUAAUGUAUCUUUGUUGGCUUUUAAGUCUUGACUUUAACAUUGACUUAUAACCUGAUGGAUCAAGCACAGCAUUGUUUUCUUCCCUUCUGCAUGUCAAUCCUCAAACAUAAAACGCGAACUUGACAAACUUUCAUAGCAUUCUGAGUACCAGUCUAUUUCUUUAACUAAUUUCCUCCUAUUUUUCAUUCAAUGAUCAAAACUUCGGAGGCAGUGAUGGGCUUUUUGCUUUUCAUCAAGGUUCAAAUCUAGAUUGGUGUACUUCUUGCUUGGUUGUGUAUGAAAUACCUCCCUAAUCAAUUUUGAUGUGUAGAGAGUAAUCACAGCUUGCAUAGACAUUCGCUUCUUUCCAUUUAACUUUUUCCUUGUGGCAAAUUCUGUGGGUUGUUUUAUUUGAGUAUGCCUGCUUGAUAUUCACUAAUAACAGUUUCUAAUGUUGUUCUUGCUGAUAUUAAUCUGUUAAAAAAAAUCAUUUAAAAUGUGAACUGACAAAAAUUUUGCAGAAAAGUCUUCUGUGCCUGGAGUGUAGGAAACAGAAAUAGCUAUAAUUGUGGUACGCAUGUUUGGCUUGUCUUAUGACACUUGUAAACGUUGUCUUUAUCCAUGCUCUGAUAUCCAGUAUUCUGUGCUGAGUUUUAUGAUUGGAUAGGAGACAUUAACUACGGUUAGGCAUGCACUCUAGGUUAUUUGCUAUGGUCUUUCGAACAUGCAGGACAUAUCCUUAGAGUCUUUAUGUAACAGUUAAGCGGAUUUUGACAGAUUGUUUUGACCAGAGAAAAAUGCAUCCUUCUAUACACUAAUUAUUUCAAUAAGACCAUCAGUGAUUACAGUAGGACUCUAGGCUGUGGAAUGUAAGAGCAAUUUACAUAUGGAUAUAAGGUCGCAUAGCAUGCAAGAUCCAUGAUGUAUCAUUGUGAAAAAUUUAAAGACCAGAGAAAAAACUUGAAAUCAAUGGAUUAUUCUUUCUACAUUCAUAGUAUUACAUAAUUGCUUCUAUUUUUCCCCCUUAACCUAAAGUAAUUAAAGAUAAAUACUAGUAAAGAUGUGUGCUCUGGUGAUAUGAGCAGCUUCAGCUUUCUAUUCAUACAUGUAGUAAUUUCAAUUAUUUUCUUGUUUAUGACUCAUGCUUUUCUUCAAGCCCUAUGUCAAUUUUCAAUAUGUAACUUGAGCUAGAUCUUUUAUGUCUGCUUCAUCUUUAGCAGACAUUUUCAUUCAAACUUGAUUCUUUAAUGCAACUAAACUUGUGGUUCAGUUCAAAGCAGUAGAUACAUGAGAUUGAAAGAAUACAUUCAUGAUUUCUUAUAAUGUUUCAUAAGGAGGAUGUGUUAGUGAAGCGAAGUCUUCAAGUAAUUUUCCUUAAUGAUUCAUUUUCUGAUUUGGAUGAAGUUAUGCGUAUGAGAUGUGUCUGCUAAGAUGUUCUGGAUUUGCCUGAAUCUAGAUAUGGGGACCUUUAUGGUUGCCUGUGGAUGAUGUUUCUGCGUUGUUUUCAAAUUAUUUUUCAUUUUUGAAGAAAGUGGAAGCAACUUGCUGUGACACCGAAGCAAGUUAUAGUCGAAACAAGUGUCAUUUUAUUUUGUGUAAUGAUAUUUUAGGAUCUUGUUCACAUGAAAAUUUUUGUACCUGCUACUUAUUGUGUUUGAGUUACCUUCAUUAUGUAUGUUGGAGUGCUCCUCGUCUUUCCCUUUACUAUCAUGCCUUAUAUUGCUGAAUGCAGUAAAAGUUGGUUUAGCAUUUCUUGCAAAUUGUACUACUUAAUGAUAGCUAUGCAUUUCACAUGCCAAUGAUUGGCGACAUGUUAGACUUUCAGUUGUAAUUCUUUGUGAGUUGUCACAAAAGGACAAUAGUCAUCAAUCUGAAUGUGUUUCACUCUUACGCAUUCUCCUCCUCUCUCUUUCUCAGCACUUCCUGUGUUCUGGCAUCAGGAUUGUUCUUGCCAUGCUUUGUGGUUAUGUGAUCUCAUCCAAUUCAACUCUUUAUUGACUAUCUCAUGUUAAAUGUGAUAAAAAUUGUGAUGAUCUAGUGCGUUGUUUACUUCAGAGGAUUAUUUCAAGUGAUUAAUACCCCAAUACCCUCUAGUCCCAUUUUGUUUUUAAUUUUAUAAUGCCGAAUUGAGCCCACUAUUCCAACCUUCCUUACCAGGCCAAAUAAGUUUACACUCUAUGCUACAGUUCUUCCCCAUUUAACUGACACAGGACAGAAAGAUAGAAGGGAAAAUGAAGAAGCGACCCCAGUCCUGAUUGAUGUGUUUCUUCACUUGGUUGUUCUUGAUAAUCCAAUCUGCACCGAAAACAAAAAAAAAAAAGAGCAUCAAGUUUCAGUAGUCAUCAAUAGAAGGAAAAAAGAUUAAUAAAAAGAUAUUCUGUCAGCGAGUUGGACGAAGCUACUAGUCAAUGGGUUGCUGUGCAGCCUGCUGGAGAAGAAAUGAAGGAUGGGACGGUAGCUCCAAGAUAUUUUUCCAAGAGGACAAAAUAGUAAAUCGUUUUGGCCUAGUUGAGGGUGUAUGUGUGAUUUCCAUGUUGGUCCAACGCCACCUCAAGAGGUAGGAUAGCCCAAUCCCACCUCUUGAGGUGGGUCAACAAUAGUGGUACGGUGCUGGGCUCGUCCAAUUAUUCUGG
Molecule: non-coding RNA, 2636 nt
Organism: Sesamum indicum (sesame)
Lineage: Eukaryota; Viridiplantae; Streptophyta; Magnoliopsida; Lamiales; Pedaliaceae
Source: RefSeq, a predicted model, not a curated record